RNAcentral lists this ribosomal RNA (418 nucleotides) under bacterium enrichment culture clone ALO1_GLFRUDD03FMJIT. RNAcentral describes it as "bacterial SSU rRNA". It matches the Rfam family "Bacterial small subunit ribosomal RNA", at positions 9 to 429 of the family's 1533-position model. The record is from RNAcentral.
GAGUUUGAUCCUGGCUCAGAUUGAACGCUGGCGGCAUGCCUUACACAUGCAAGUCGAACGGCAGCACGGGAGCUUGCUCCUGGUGGCGAGUGGCGAACGGGUGAGUAAUGCAUCGGAACGUAUCCUGGAGUGGGGGAUAACGUAGCGAAAGUUACGCUAAUACCGCAUAUUCUGUGAGCAGGAAAGCGGGGGACCUUCGGGCCUCGCGCUCUUGGAGCGGCCGAUGUCAGAUUAGCUAGUUGGUGAGGUAAAGGCUCACCAAGGCGACGAUCCGUAGCAGGUCUGAGAGGAUGAUCUGCCACACUGGAACUGAGACACGGUCCAGACUCCUACGGGAGGCAGCAGUGGGGAAUUUUGGACAAUGGGGGCAACCCUGAUCCAGCCAUGCCGCGUGAGUGAAGAAGGCCUCGGUUGUAAG